RNAcentral lists this long non-coding RNA (459 nucleotides) under Gallus gallus (chicken). The record is from RNAcentral. Lineage: Eukaryota; Metazoa; Chordata; Aves; Galliformes; Phasianidae.
CACUUUGGAAUCCGGGGGGUUCUCCUGGGGGGGGGGAGGGGGGGGAGGACCCCCCCCCACCCUGGGGGUCCCGGUGCCCCCCCCGGGGCUGCAGGCACUUGGCAGAAGCGGCCGGUGAAGGCGGGGGGGCACAGGCAGUGGGAGCGGGAGGAGCACUGCCCCCCGUUCAUGCAGGGCAGUGGGCACACCACCACGCGGAACCCGGGCCCGCUCAGCGUGUCGGCUCCGUGCCUCCCGUUCUCCCCCACGAGCGUCGUGUUGGUCCCCGCCCGGCACUGAUCGCGGCAGCGGCCCCUCACGCAGCUCCGGCGGCAGAUGAGGGGCGCCACGACCACUCGGAAACGCUCCCGGGCCACCGCCGAACCCACGGCCACGGACACGGGGGGGCCCGGGGGGAGCGCGGCCCCCAGAGCGGCCACGGCCACGGCCACGCACAGAGCGCGCAUCGCGGUCCGGGGG